AGCUGGGGGAUCCUGGGGGAGCACAGAUCUCAGUUAAAAUACUCAAAGCUCAUUUCCAGUUAGUGCCCACCCAGCUGCUCUGCACACGAGGGUGUCCUUCCUCAGGCAGAAGUGUUUGGGGGCAAGUGGAGAUGAACUUUUGUUGAUUUUUUUGUUCCUGUUUGGAAGCUUAACACUGUGACAGCAGCUCCAGAUCAGCAUCUUGGCACUCAGUUCUGCUUGGACAUCUGUUGCCAAAAAAGCAAAUAUUUAGAGGAGGGAGAAGAUGUAGCCAAGGAUGGUGGAUUUCAGCACAUACUGAGAUAAGAAAAGGGCACGAGUGGUCACUGACACGUGUUGUAGUAGGCAAAACAUGCAGAGAAUGUUUUACCUUAUGAGAACAGAGCCUUCUGAUGUGCAUUGAAGUUGGACAUCCAGAAGCUGAAGAAUCAGCUGUAUUAAACUGUAUUUCUUAGGUCAGUAUUUAUAGAGCCUGACAUUUUAAGUGCAGUCUUUGUUUUAAGACAGCCAUGAAGUAAAGAGAAGCUUUCGUCUUCUCACAGAAGCUUCAUGAAGCUUGUAGUUGCCAGUUUGGUUGGGAUAGUGUUACUUUAAUAAAGUUUAUUUUUUUUAAAUGUAGUUGCUGAGGCCAUUCAAAACCAGCAGAUUCUGGAAUGUUUUCCUGCUGAGUCACUGCUUAUUCUGGGAAACUCUGAAGGGAGAGAUACUGGAUGUGGGAGACUAAUGCUUUUAAAUCUACUCAUAAUUAAUAAUGGUUGGAACUUUCCCAUGACACUGCAGCUUCUUUAGAAUUAGCCUGAUGUGUUGGAAUGCAGAUAUCAAUUCUGUUGCCUAACAGCUGUACCCCAAUGCCUUCACAGGUGGGGAUGGUUACUGCGAAUAAGAUGUUUGACCAGCAUUCAGUAGGAACUGUAUUGGCAAGUGCAAUGGUAAGGAAAAGGCCCCUGAUUGGCCGCCACUGUUGCUAAUUGCUAAUUGCUAAUGAUGUGUGUGCUAACCACUAACCCCCAGUGCCCUGCUGUGUGUGUCCCUGGCAUGGCCAGACAGGGCUGCCCCUGCUGCAUUAACCCACUAAGCCCUGGAGAGCAGAAUGUGAAGCUCCUGGUGUCUCUGGCCACUGUCCCCCGUGCUGUGUCUGUGCACACACCCAGAGCUGCUGUGUCCGUGCAGAGGCUCCUGCUGUACCCGGUGUCACUCCCUGUCCUGUGCCACCAGUGCUCGUCCCGUGUCACAGCCCCGGGGGCUCAGGCUGCUGCCAGUGUCCCUGCCAUGCCGAGGGUGGGGUGCGAUGGGAUUUAGGGUCCCUUCCAGCCCAGACCCUUCUGGGCUUGUGUGGCUGCAGCUCCUGCUCAGUGCCAGGCCAGAGCAGGGUCCCAAAUCCCUGCAGCCUGGGGGGCUCAGGAGCAGGGCAGGCUGCACUCAGGGGCUGCUUCCCCCUCCUCCAGGUCAUUCAUUUAGCUCAGAAACCUUCAGCUGGAGCUGUUCUGCAGUAACUGCUGGGUUAACUUCAGGGUUUCAUGUAGAGUUAUGAGUCCCAGUCUCUCUAGGAUGCCUGUCUGCACCUCCUGUGCUUGAAAACAAGGCAUUUAUUUGGAUUUUUUGUUGAUCUAAGUGAUCUAAAUUACUUCCCAUGUGGAGCAGCUGCUGGACUGCAGUAAGGGAUGUCAUGGCACGUUAUAAAUCAGCUUUCCAAAGUCCUGACAAGAUUUUCAGUUACCCUUUUUUGAGCUGCUGGGGAUUUUUCUGGUCUGGUAAUUCUAGCUGCCAGGGCAGUCAGUCACCAGAGAUGCAGCGUUUUGUGGUCCUUUUUUGACAUCUUGAAUAAAAUCCUCCGUUCUUCAGAAGAGGCAAAGACCAUGACAUGCCCUGUUCACACAGGAGACAGGUUUAAUCUGCACUUGGUGUAAAUAACUUCUGCCUCCUUCUGACACCAUCCUUGUUGCUGUUGCUUCUCAGAGUCACAGGUGGUGUUCCCUGGUGGAUGAUUUAGGUGCCAGAUUAUUUUGCUGAGUGUUUUGACAUGAAAGUGCAGAGUAGCUCUCCAGGGGCAUUGGGGAAUCUGAUCCUAAAUCAGCUCAGUGUCCUCGCUCCUUGAGGAAGAGGGGUUUGUGUUCCUGUGCCCAGGGUGUGUGGGAGGAGCAGUCUGAGCUGUUCAGUUGGGCCCAGCCCUGUGUGCCCAAGGGGCCAGCUCUGUCCCCAGAGCCCUCAUUGAUCUUUGCUUUCCCUUCUCUGCCCAAGGAGAUGCCCAGGAAGCCCCGACUCAGUGAGCUGGCCCUGGCUCGGCUGCUAAACUUGCUGUUCCCUUUUUGUGCAGACUCUAAUUGCAGUAUUCCAGAGCCACCUCCAAACCCUCCUCCCGAGCCUCCUGCAGAGCUGGGCAGAGAGCUGCACACCCACCUGCUGCUGGACAUUGACAAUGACACGGAGAGCACGGCGCUGUGACCGCGCUGCGGCGCCGCCUUCCAGCUCCUGGCAACCCCAGACCGACCAGGGAAAGGCUUCUUCUGGCAGCGGGCACAGCUGGGCACAGCUGGCAGGGGGCCUCUGGCACUCAGCUCCAGGCUGGCACAGCUCAGAGCAGACCUGUCAGCAAAUGGAGCCCAGCCUUUGGCCGGGUUUCGCCCUCAGAAGAAGUUUAAUGAUCUGGGUCUGGACAACGGUUUUCAAACUCUUGGAUGGAAGGAAUGAAUUCCUGCAGGAGCUCGCCUAGGAAGCGUGGUCAGUGCUGAUACAGGUGGUAUGAGCAGAAAUUCCAAAAGAAUAAGAAGCAGAACGUUAGUUAUUUAAAGUGCAUGUCUGUAUUAGGGAAAUAAUCCUUCUCACGGCACCGUUAGAGGUUCUUUGUAGUUCUUAGCCCGUCCCAGGAGCUGCCUCCAAGGGACAUUGCCUCUCUCCCAAGGGACAUCCCCUCUCUCCCAAGGGACAUUCCCUCCCGGAUUUGCUGCAGAUUCCCCUCAAGCCAUGAACCAAACCCUGCCCCAGUGCUGGUGGUGACUGCUGGUUCUCAGUCACCUGUGGAACUGUGGAUGCAUCCAGUGCCUUGAAGGACUGUCGUGCUGUAGGAGGAACUUCUGUCUCUUUAAUCAUUUCAUUGCUACGUAGGAGCAGUACUUACCCUGAUUUCAUAGUUAUUUGUAUUAACCUGCUUUGUUCAUGUGCAACUGGCAACUGUUUCACGAGGAAACCGUGGAAAUGGGGUUUGUGCUUUUGUUGAAAACGGUUGAAUUUUGAAAGAACUUUGAAACAGCUGUUUGGAUUCAGAAGUUGAGUGAACAUUUAUAAAAUUAAAGAUUGUUUUUUGUCAA
Molecule: non-coding RNA, 3305 nt
Organism: Zonotrichia albicollis (white-throated sparrow)
Lineage: Eukaryota; Metazoa; Chordata; Aves; Passeriformes; Passerellidae
Source: RefSeq, a predicted model, not a curated record